This 494-nucleotide ribosomal RNA is filed under the name uncultured bacterium. RNAcentral's name for it is "partial 16S ribosomal RNA". It matches the Rfam family "Bacterial small subunit ribosomal RNA", at positions 30 to 507 of the family's 1533-position model. The record is from RNAcentral.
AUUGAACGCUGGCGGCAUGCUUUACACAUGCAAGUCGAACGGCAGCGGGGAGGAGCUUGCUUCUCUGCCGGCGAGUGGCGAACGGGUGAGUAAUACAUCGGAACGUGUCGAGAAGAGGGGGAUAACCACCCGAAAGGGUGGCUAAUACCGCAUAAAUUCGGAGGAAGAAAGCUGGGGACCUAGGAAUAGGACUAGCGCUUUUUGAGCGGCCGAUGUCGGAUUAGCUAGUUGGUGAGGGAAAGGCUCACCAAGGCGAAGAUCUGUAGCGGGUCUGAGAGGAUGAUCCGCCACACUGGGACUGAGACACGGCCCAGACUCCUACGGGAGGCAGCAGUGGGGAAUUUUGGACAAUGGGGGCAACCCUGAUCCAGCCAUGCCGCGUGUAUGAAGAAGGCCUUAGGGUUGUAAAGUACUUUUGUUAGGGAAGAAAAGUCAGCUGUGAAUAAUGGCUGAUACUGACGGUACCUAAAGAAUAAGCACCGGCUAACUACGUG